GCGACAGCCUCGGAGCUGAUGGAGAGACAGCACGCAACUGGAAAAAAUUCAGACGUGGAUUUCAUGGAUCAAAUGGAUAGGUUGCCAAUGGUUUCAGCAUUGUGAACUGAAUAACACAACCUUCUUCCACUGAUGUGAUGUGUCAACAGCUGUUCUCCCAUUAGAUAAGGUGUAGCUUUCCAAAGGUCGGCCAUUUUCUCUCUACUCAAGAUGGUUACAUUCCAUUAUAGUACUUUUACCUUCUUGCUACAUCCAGCAGCCUGCUAAAGCACUGUGUUUAUAUUUUUGCCUUUC
This is a long non-coding RNA of Microtus oregoni (creeping vole), 294 nucleotides long. RefSeq lists it as uncharacterized. The transcript is spliced from 3 exons. Lineage: Eukaryota; Metazoa; Chordata; Mammalia; Rodentia; Cricetidae. The record is from RefSeq and is a predicted model, not a curated record.